This 500-nucleotide ribosomal RNA is filed under the name Brachidontes darwinianus. RNAcentral's name for it is "partial large subunit ribosomal RNA". It matches the Rfam family "Bacterial large subunit ribosomal RNA", at positions 1827 to 2602 of the family's 2925-position model. The record is from RNAcentral. Lineage: Eukaryota; Metazoa; Mollusca; Bivalvia; Mytilida; Mytilidae.
CAUCUCUUUCUGGAUUUAUAGAAAGUAAGCCCUGCCCGGUGUGUUAGUAAACGGCGGCCUUAGCGUGAGGGUCUUAAGGUAGCAUGAUAAGUCGGCCUUUGAUUGGGGUCUGGUAUGAAUGGGUUAACGUUGGAUAAGCUGUUUCAUAGAAUGUAAUUGAAAUUAAUUUUAAAGUGAAGAAGCUUUAAUCUAAAAAAAAGACGACAAGACCCUACGAAGCUUCAUCUUAAAUAAAUAAAGCAAAGUGCGUGGUCUUCCGCUUUAUUUUAUUGUGAUUUUGUUGGGAUAACAAAACAGAAACGUACUGUUUAUUGAAAACUAACUUACUGGUGAUUUCUUAAUCUGGUAAAAAAUGUUAAGCUACUCUAGGGAUAACAGCGCAAUCUUUUUUAAGAGUUCAAAUCAAAAAACGGGUUUGCGACCUCGAUGUUGGCUUUAGGUGACUUAAGGGCGUAGAAGCUUUUAAAAGUGGGUCUGUUCGACCUUUAAUUCCUAACGUG